CCAACGCGCCAUCGCCAUUGGAACUUUAUGGCAGUUGGAAAGGAAUUUUUAAUCUCCUUCGCAUCGUCCGCCAUGAAGUUAAUAAAGGAUUUGAUCAUUUCUAUAUUUAAGUCCAAGUCCAGCCGGAAUGAGAGCGAAAAUAUCGAAUCAGUUCCCCCCUUGUUGGAUGCGACAGAGCAGAGCAACGAAUCCUUUAGAAACUCAAGAUAUAAAUUCCUCUUGGAAUUUUCUGUAAGCACAAUCAUUUCCUCAUUUUCUUUCAUGACCAACAUAGUGGGUAAUUUUUUAAUUAGAUUUUAAUGUAUAAAAAUAAUAAAGUAAUCAUUUCCUGCCUGCGAACAGUAACCCAACAUUGUAAUUGGAGCUUCUUGCAAUACCUGAUGUUCAAUGCAAUGACACUGUCGACGAUGUUUGUCUUCAGCAUUCCCGCCUUCUGCGGUGGCAUUUACGUGUUCAUCUCCUACGGGAUGGUUGUCUACAUGCUUGGCAUCAGAGGACCCACCGUCGUCACACCAAAAGCCUUCUACCAGGCUGGAUUCUCUGAUUUGUCCGCUUUUUGGCUUCUGGUCAUCGACUAUGUCAUUUGCACCAUGGUCAUCGGAAUUGUUUAUCGCGGCCUCCUAAGAGCUAAAUCUUCUCAGCAAAAUACAGUUUCAUCCUGAUUGCUAUUUUAUUUUAAAUGCCUGAAAUUCAAGCUGUAAGAGAGACUAUAAUUAAUUAAGCAAUCUGAUUAGGCAGGCAUGUGUGUUUUGAGUUUCGUCGUUCUCAUCGCCAUAGCCUAGUAUAUAUAAGGUGCUGACGAAUUUA
Long non-coding RNA from Cloeon dipterum, 807 nucleotides. RefSeq lists it as uncharacterized. The transcript is spliced from 4 exons. The record is from RefSeq and is a predicted model, not a curated record. Lineage: Eukaryota; Metazoa; Arthropoda; Insecta; Ephemeroptera; Baetidae.